This 2432-nucleotide ribosomal RNA is filed under the name Escherichia coli. RNAcentral's name for it is "partial 23S ribosomal RNA". It matches the Rfam family "Bacterial large subunit ribosomal RNA", at positions 513 to 2925 of the family's 2925-position model. The record is from RNAcentral. Lineage: Bacteria; Pseudomonadati; Pseudomonadota; Gammaproteobacteria; Enterobacterales; Enterobacteriaceae.
GGCGAAAAGAACCCCGGCGAGGGGAGUGAAAAAGAACCUGAAACCGUGUACGUACAAGCAGUGGGAGCCUCUUAAUGGGGUGACUGCGUACCUUUUGUAUAAUGGGUCAGCGACUUAUAUUCUGUAGCAAGGUUAACCGAAUAGGGGAGCCGAAGGGAAACCGAGUCUUAACUGGGCGUUAAGUUGCAGGGUAUAGACCCGAAACCCGGUGAUCUAGCCAUGGGCAGGUUGAAGGUUGGGUAACACUAACUGGAGGACCGAACCGACUAAUGUUGAAAAAUUAGCGGAUGACUUGUGGCUGGGGGUGAAAGGCCAAUCAAACCGGGAGAUAGCUGGUUCUCCCCGAAAGCUAUUUAGGUAGCGCCUCGUGAAUUCAUCUCCGGGGGUAGAGCACUGUUUCGGCAAGGGGGUCAUCCCGACUUACCAACCCGAUGCAAACUGCGAAUACCGGAGAAUGUUAUCACGGGAGACACACGGCGGGUGCUAACGUCCGUCGUGAAGAGGGAAACAACCCAGACCGCCAGCUAAGGUCCCAAAGUCAUGGUUAAGUGGGAAACGAUGUGGGAAGGCCCAGACAGCCAGGAUGUUGGCUUAGAAGCAGCCAUCAUUUAAAGAAAGCGUAAUAGCUCACUGGUCGAGUCGGCCUGCGCGGAAGAUGUAACGGGGCUAAACCAUGCACCGAAGCUGCGGCAGCGACACUAUGUGUUGUUGGGUAGGGGAGCGUUCUGUAAGCCUGUGAAGGUGUACUGUGAGGUAUGCUGGAGGUAUCAGAAGUGCGAAUGCUGACAUAAGUAACGAUAAAGCGGGUGAAAAGCCCGCUCGCCGGAAGACCAAGGGUUCCUGUCCAACGUUAAUCGGGGCAGGGUGAGUCGACCCCUAAGGCGAGGCCGAAAGGCGUAGUCGAUGGGAAACAGGUUAAUAUUCCUGUACUUGGUGUUACUGCGAAGGGGGGACGGAGAAGGCUAUGUUGGCCGGGCGACGGUUGUCCCGGUUUAAGCGUGUAGGCUGGUUUUCCAGGCAAAUCCGGAAAAUCAAGGCUGAGGCGUGAUGACGAGGCACUACGGUGCUGAAGCGACAAAUGCCCUGCUUCCAGGAAAAGCCUCUAAGCAUCAGGUAACAUCAAAUCGUACCCCAAACCGACACAGGUGGUCAGGUAGAGAAUACCAAGGCGCUUGAGAGAACUCGGGUGAAGGAACUAGGCAAAAUGGUGCCGUAACUUCGGGAGAAGGCACGCUGAUAUGUAGGUGAAGCGACUUGCUCGUGGAGCUGAAAUCAGUCGAAGAUACCAGCUGGCUGCAACUGUUUAUUAAAAACACAGCACUGUGCAAACACGAAAGUGGACGUAUACGGUGUGACGCCUGCCCGGUGCCGGAAGGUUAAUUGAUGGGGUUAGCGGUAACGCGAAGCUCUUGAUCGAAGCCCCGGUAAACGGCGGCCGUAACUAUAACGGUCCUAAGGUAGCGAAAUUCCUUGUCGGGUAAGUUCCGACCUGCACGAAUGGCGUAAUGAUGGCCAGGCUGUCUCCACCCGAGACUCAGUGAAAUUGAACUCGCUGUGAAGAUGCAGUGUACCCGCGGCAAGACGGAAAGACCCCGUGAACCUUUACUAUAGCUUGACACUGAACAUUGAGCCUUGAUGUGUAGGAUAGGUGGGAGGCUUUGAAGUGUGGACGCCAGUCUGCAUGGAGCCGACCUUGAAAUACCACCCUUUAAUGUUUGAUGUUCUAACGUGGGCCCCUUACCGGGGUUGCGGACAGUGUCUGGUGGGUAGUUUGACUGGGGCGGUCUCCUCCUAAAGAGUAACGGAGGAGCACGAAGGUUGGCUAAUCCUGGUCGGACAUCAGGAGGUUAGUGCAAUGGCAUAAGCCAGCUUGACUGCGAGCGUGACGGCGCGAGCAGGUGCGAAAGCAGGUCAUAGUGAUCCGGUGGUUCUGAAUGGAAGGGCCAUCGCUCAACGGAUAAAAGGUACUCCGGGGAUAACAGGCUGAUACCGCCCAAGAGUUCAUAUCGACGGCGGUGUUUGGCACCUCGAUGUCGGCUCAUCACAUCCUGGGGCUGAAGUAGGUCCCAAGGGUAUGGCUGUUCGCCAUUUAAAGUGGUACGCGAGCUGGGUUUAGAACGUCGUGAGACAGUUCGGUCCCUAUCUGCCGUGGGCGCUGGAGAACUGAGGGGGGCUGCUCCUAGUACGAGAGGACCGGAGUGGACGCAUCACUGGUGUUCGGGUUGUCAUGCCAAUGGCACUGCCCGGUAGCUAAAUGCGGAAGAGAUAAGUGCUGAAAGCAUCUAAGCACGAAACUUGCCCCGAGAUGAGUUCUCCCUGACUCCUUGAGAGUCCUGAAGGAACGUUGAAGACGACGACGUUGAUAGGCCGGGUGUGUAAGCGCAGCGAUGCGUUGAGCUAACCGGUACUAAUGAACCGUGAGGCUUAACCUU